AAGAGCCUGCCGUAUUCGCCAGGAUGGAUUAUGUAUUGAGCCAACACCUACGAAAAGGGAGCCCGGGCUCCUCAUGUGGAAUGUAGGCCUACUAAAGGUAGGGAACAAGAAGCAUGGGGGAGGGCACCCACCUGCUGAGAGCAGGUUCAAUCAUUCCAUCCAGCGAUAUGGUGGGUUUUUG
This is a non-coding RNA of Caloramator australicus RC3, 181 nucleotides long. It matches the Rfam family "6S / SsrS RNA". From Rfam's summary of the family: E. coli 6S RNA was the first non coding RNA to be sequenced, but its function was unknown until recently. It consists of 184 nucleotides that fold into an extended hairpin structure with a large single-stranded internal bulge. NCBI's taxonomy places the organism in Bacteria, Bacillati, Bacillota, Clostridia, Eubacteriales, Clostridiaceae. The record is from Rfam.